GACGUAGGGUCCAAGCGUUGUCCGGAUUUACUGGGCGCAAAGAGCGCGUAGGCGGCUCGUCAAGUGUGAAGUGAAAUCUCUAGGGCUCAACCCAGAAACUGCUUUACAUACUGGCGAGCUGGAGUGAUGAAGAGGUUUGUGGAAUUCCUGGUGUAGCGGUGAAAUGCGUAGAUAUCAGGAGGAACACCUGUGGCGAAAGCGGCUCACUGGACCAUCACUGACGCUGAGGCGCGAAAGCUAGGGGAGCAAACAGG
RNAcentral lists this ribosomal RNA (254 nucleotides) under uncultured prokaryote. RNAcentral's name for it is "partial 16S ribosomal RNA". It matches the Rfam family "Bacterial small subunit ribosomal RNA", at positions 524 to 776 of the family's 1533-position model. The record is from RNAcentral.